Molecule: long non-coding RNA, 232 nt
Organism: Solanum stenotomum
Lineage: Eukaryota; Viridiplantae; Streptophyta; Magnoliopsida; Solanales; Solanaceae
Exons: 3
Source: RefSeq, a predicted model, not a curated record
CAGAUUGUUACCCAGUUCAAGGAACAAGGUAUAAAUACAGAAUUGUACUAUAAAAACAAAGAAAUGGGAAAGGACACCUUCAGUAUUGUUCCAACUAGUGCUAUUAGUGGUGAAGGUAUUCCUGACAUGCUGUUGCUGCUUGUUCAAUGGACACAAAAGACAAUGAUUGAGAGACUUACUUACAGCAAUGAAGUUCAGUGUACCGUAUUGGAGGUAAAGGUUGUUGAAGGGC